This 497-nucleotide ribosomal RNA is filed under the name uncultured bacterium. Its description in RNAcentral is "partial 16S ribosomal RNA". It matches the Rfam family "Bacterial small subunit ribosomal RNA", at positions 28 to 507 of the family's 1533-position model. The record is from RNAcentral.
GACGAACGCUGGCGGCGUGCCUAAUACAUGCAAGUAGAACGCUGAAGAGAGGAGCUUGCUCUUCUUGGGUGAGUUGCGAACGGGUGAGUAACGCGUAGGUAACCUGCCUUGUAGCGGGGGAUAACUAUUGGAAACGAUAGCUAAUACCGCAUAACAAUGUAUGACACAUGUCAUUUAUUUGAAAGGGGCAAUUGCUCCACUACAAGAUGGACCUGCGUUGUAUUAGCUAGUAGGUGAGGUAAUGGCUCACCUAGGCGACGAUACAUAGCCGACCUGAGAGGGUGAUCGGCCACAAUGGGACUGAGAAAAGGCCCAGACUCCUACGGGAGGCAGCAGUAGGGAAUCUUCGGCAAAGGGGGCAAACCUGACCGGGCAACGGCGCGUGAGUGAAGAAGGUUUUCGGAUCGUAAAGCUCUGUUGUAAGUCAAGAACGGAUGUGAGAGUGGAAAGUUCACGCUGUGACGGUAGCUUACCAGAAAGGGACGGCUAACUACGUG